UACGAAGGGUGCAAGCGUUACUCGGAAUUACUGGGCGUAAAGCGUGCGUAGGUGGCGACGUAAGUCGGGUGUGAAAGCCCCGGGCUCAACCUGGGAAUUGCAUUCGAGACUGCAUUGCUGGAGUACGGAAGAGGAGGGCGGAAUUCCCGGUGUAGCGGUGAAAUGCGUAGAUAUCAGGAGGAACACCGGUGGCGAAGGCGGCCACCUGGACGGCUACUGACACUGAGACGCGAAAGCGUGGGGAGCAAACAGG
RNAcentral lists this ribosomal RNA (253 nucleotides) under uncultured bacterium. RNAcentral's name for it is "partial 16S ribosomal RNA". It matches the Rfam family "Bacterial small subunit ribosomal RNA", at positions 524 to 776 of the family's 1533-position model. The record is from RNAcentral.